This 327-nucleotide ribosomal RNA is filed under the name uncultured eukaryote. RNAcentral describes it as "partial 18S ribosomal RNA". It matches the Rfam family "Eukaryotic small subunit ribosomal RNA", at positions 1470 to 1796 of the family's 1831-position model. The record is from RNAcentral.
CCCUUAGAUGUUCUGGGCCGCACGCGCGCUACACUGACGAAUGCAACGAGCUUAUAACCUUGGCCGAAAGGUCUGGGUAAUCUCCAAAUUUCGUCGUGAUGGGGAUAGAUUAUUGCAAUUAUUAAUCUUCAACGAGGAAUGCCUAGUAAGCGCAAGUCAUCAGCUUGCGUUGAUUACGUCCCUGCCCUUUGUACACACCGCCCGCCGCUCCUACCGAUUGAAUGGUCCGGUGAAGCGUUCGGACCGUGGCCUUUGGACGGUUCGCCGUCUGUUGGCUGCGGGAAGUUCGUUAAACCUUAUCAUUUAGAGGAAGGAGAANUCGUANCA